CUAACUGCCUGGAGGCGGGAGCAUAUGGACACUCAAGGAAGCUGUGCUUAAAAUUCCUUUCCAGGAGUUCCUCUCGUGGCUCAGUGGACGAACCUAACUAGUAUCCAUGAGGACUCGGGUUCGAUCCCUGGCCUCGCUCAGUGGGUGAAGGAUCCGGCAUUACUGUGAGCUGUGGUGUAGGUCGCAGACACGGCUUGGAUCCUGCGUUGCUGUGGCUGUGGUGUAGGCCAGCAGCUGUAGUUCCGAUUGGAUCCCUAGCCCGGGAACCUCCAUAUCCCGAGGGUGCGGCCCCAAAAAGACAAAAAAAAAAAAAAUCCUUUCCAAACUCAGAUGCCCACCCAGUGUGUAAGGCCUGGUUUUAGGGCAAAUCUGGACCUGUUUUUUCAGUGACGUUUUAUUGGAAUUCAACCACGUCCAUUCACUGACUUAAUUGUCUAUGGCUGGUGGCACCAUAUAAUGGCAGCAGAGUGGCAGGGACCACUGUAGGGCCUGCAGGCUUCAACUAUUUCCGAUGUGGCCAUUUACAGAAAAAAUUUGUCAAUUCCUGGUAUCGAUAGUGAAAGAUGGCUUUUUGCACGUGUUUGAAAUUCUUGAAAAAGGAGUCUGAAGGAUCUUGAUUUUUUUUUUUUUUUAAAUUAAAUGAGUCCAUCUGCCAUUUAAUAGAUUGUCUUUUUCUUUCAUUUGUCAGAGUUAUGUUGGCGUUAGGGCCCUGACCACAGGUUCAAUUAACUUUGCCACUUUGGGGACCUGUUUUAAGUCUUCCAACCGAUCCUUUUCAAAGUACUGAAGACAGGACUCUGAUCAGAUACCAACUGUACCACACAAACGUGGUAGUUCCUCAGUGAACUGUGUGCGUUUUUUUAUAUGUUUCGUGGAGGUAUAUCCCUUCUCUCCUGGAGCCCCAGUGACUAUUUUCCCUUCAAACCUACCCAUCCGAGGCUCUUCCUUCUUUGCGGUGGCACCUUGUGGUGGGCUCCCUGUUGAACUCCUACCCAGCUUAGUCAUUGAGGAAAGUGAAUCAGCCAUGGGGUGAGUCAUUGCAAACCCAACUCCGAGUAAGAAACCCCGUCAUGCACCUAAGAGAUCAUGAAUCAUGAGGUUGGGACAACCUGCUGGUGGGUGCAAUUGGGGAAAAAAAAAAUCCCCUCUUCUGAUUCCAAACCCCCUUUCCUUCCACUGUACAUGGGCUCGAGGUAAACAUUUAAAACAAGAAUGAAGGCCUUAGUCAUGAGGGCUUUUCGUAAGGAUUUAGUCCUCAUUUACACUUUUAAAAUUGUUUUUAGGAGUUCCCAUCAUGGCGCAGUGGUUGGCGAAUCCGACUGGGACCCAUGGGGUUGCGGGUUCGGUCCCUGCCCUUGCUUAGUGGGUUGACGAUCCGGCGUUGCCGUGAGCUGUGGUGUAGGUUGCAGACGUGGCUUGCGGAUCCCGCGUUGCUGUGGCUCUGGCGUAGGCCGGUGGCUACAGCUCCGAUUAGACCCCUAGCCUGGGAACCUGCAUAUGCCGCGGGAGCGGCCCAAGAAAUAGCUAAAAAGACAAAAAAAAA
RNAcentral lists this long non-coding RNA (1543 nucleotides) under Sus scrofa (pig). RNAcentral describes it as "lncRNA (ENSSSCG00015015727.1)". Lineage: Eukaryota; Metazoa; Chordata; Mammalia; Artiodactyla; Suidae. The record is from RNAcentral.